RNAcentral lists this ribosomal RNA (450 nucleotides) under uncultured Glomeromycotina. RNAcentral describes it as "SSU rRNA". It matches the Rfam family "Eukaryotic small subunit ribosomal RNA", at positions 569 to 1024 of the family's 1831-position model. The record is from RNAcentral. Lineage: Eukaryota; Fungi; Glomeromycota.
AGCAGCCGCGGUAAUUCCAGCUCCAAUAGCGUAUAUUAAAGUUGUUGCAGUUAAAAAGCUCGUAGUUGAAUUUCGGGGUUAGUAGGUUGGUCAUGCCUCUGGUAUGUACUGGUCUCACUGAUUCCUCCUUCCUGAUGAACCUUAAUGCCAUUUAUUUGGUGUUUUGGGGAAUUUGGACUGUUACUUUGAAAAAUUAGAGUGUUUAAAGCAAGCUAACGCUUGAAUACAUUAGCAUGGAAUAAUGAAAUAGGACGUUCGAUCCUAUUUUGUUGGUUUCUAGGAUUGACGUAAUGAUUAAUAGGGAUAGUUGGGGGCAUUAGUAUUCAAUUGUCAGAGGUGAAAUUCUUGGAUUUAUUGAAGACUAACUACUGCGAAAGCAUUUGCCAAGGAUGUUUUCAUUAAUCAAGAACGAAAGUUAGGGGAUCGAAGACGAUCAGAUACCGUCGUAGU